This 91-nucleotide microRNA precursor is filed under the name Pan troglodytes (chimpanzee). RNAcentral's name for it is "microRNA ptr-mir-1296 precursor". It matches the Rfam family "mir-1296 microRNA precursor family". Lineage: Eukaryota; Metazoa; Chordata; Mammalia; Primates; Hominidae. The record is from miRBase by way of RNAcentral.
ACCUACCUAACUGGGUUAGGGCCCUGGCUCCAUCUCCUUUAGGAAAACCUUCUGUGGGGAGUGGGGCUUCGACCCUAACCCAGGUGGGCUG